RNAcentral lists this transfer RNA (36 nucleotides) under Haptolina brevifila. RNAcentral's name for it is "partial Selenocysteine transfer RNA". Lineage: Eukaryota; Haptophyta; Prymnesiales; Prymnesiaceae. The record is from RNAcentral.
GCAACUCCCGGGCGGGGCUGGUUCGAUUCCCGCUUG